AUGCAAGUCGAACGCACCUUCGGGUUGAGUGGCGGACGGGUGAGUAACGCGUGAGAAUCUGCCUUGGGGUCGGGGACAACCACUGGAAACGGUGGCUAAUACCGGAUAAGCCUUUGGGUAAAAGAUUUAUUGCCCCAAGAGGAGCUCGCGUCUGAUUAGCUAGUUGGUGAGGUAAAAGCUCACCACGGCAGCGAUCAGUAGCUGGUCUGAGAGGACGAUCAGACACACUGGGACUGAGACACGGACCAUACUCCUACGGGAGGCAGCAGUGGGGAAUUUUCCGCAAUGGGCGAUAGCCUGACGGAGCAAGACCGCGUGAGGGAGGAAGGCUCUUGGGUUGUAAACCUCUUUUCUCAUGGAAGAAGCUCUGACGGUACCUGAUGAAUCAGCCUCGGCUAACUCCGUGCCAGCAGCCGCGGUAAUACGGAGGAGGCAAGCAUUAUCCGGAAUUAUUGGGCGUAGAGCGUCCGCAGGUGGCGAUUCAAGUCUGCUGUCAAAGCACGGGGCUUAACUCCGUUAAGGCAGUGGAAACUGAAUAGCUAUAGUGCCGUACGGGUAGAGGGAAUUCCCGGUGUACCGGUGAAAUGCGUAGAGAUCGGGAAGAACAUCGGUGGCGAAAGCGCUCUACUGGACGGCAACUGACACUCAGGGACGAAAGCUAGGGGAGCGAAUGGGAUUAGAUACCCCAGUAGUCCUAGCUGUAAACGAUGGAUACUAGGUGUAGCUUGUAUCGACCCGAGCUGUGCCGAAGCUAACGCGUUAAGUAUCCCGCCUGGGGAGUACGCACGCAAGUGUGAAACUCGAAGGAAUUGACGGGGGCCCGCACAAGCGGUGGAGUAUGUGGUUUAAUUCGAUGCAACGCGAAGAACCUUACCAGGGCUUGACAUGUCCGGAAUCCCGGUGAAAGCUGGGAGUGCCUUCGGGAGCCGGAACACAGGUGGUGCAUGGCUGUCGUCAGCUCGUGUCGUGAGAUGUUGGGUUAAGUCCCGCAACGAGCGCAACCCUCGUCUUUAGUUGCCAGCAUUAAGUUGGGCACUCUAGAGAGACCGCCGGUGACAAACCGGAGGAAGGUGGGGAUGACGUCAAGUCAGCAUGCCCCUUACGCUCCGGGCGACACACGUACUACA
This 1127-nucleotide ribosomal RNA is filed under the name uncultured organism. RNAcentral describes it as "bacterial SSU rRNA". It matches the Rfam family "Bacterial small subunit ribosomal RNA", at positions 55 to 1229 of the family's 1533-position model. The record is from RNAcentral.